AGGAUUCCCCUAGUAACUGCGAGUGAAGCGGGAAAAGCUCAAAUUUAAAAUCUGGCAGCCUUCGGUUGUCCGAGUUGUAGUCUGGAGAAGUGCUUUCCGCGCUGGACCGUGUACAAGUCUCUUGGAACAGAGCGUCAUAGAGGGUGAGAAUCCCGUCUUUGACACGGACUACCAGUGCUUUGUGAUGCGCUCUCAAAGAGUCGAGUUGUUUGGGAAUGCAGCUCAAAAUGGGUGGUAAAUUCCAUCUAAAGCUAAAUAUUGGCGAGAGACCGAUAGCGAACAAGUACCGUGAGGGAAAGAUGAAAAGCACUUUGGAAAGAGAGUUAAACAGUACGUGAAAUUGCUGAAAGGGAAACACUUGAAGUCAGUCGCGUCUUCUAGAACUCAGCCUUGCUUUUUGCUCGGUGCACUUUCUAGUUUGACGGGCCAGCAUCGAUUUUGACUGUUGGAUAAAGGGUAGAGGAAUGUGGCAUCUUCGGAUGUGUUAUAGCCUCUGCUCACAUACAAUGGUUGGGAUCGAGGAACUCAGCACGCCUUUAUGGUCGGGGUUCGCCCACGUUCGUGCUUAGGAUGCUGGCGUAAUGGCUUUAAAUGACCCGUCUUGAAACACGGACCAAGGAGUCUAACAUGCCUGCGAGUAUUUGGGUGGUAAACCCGAGUGCGCAAUGAAAGUGAAAGUUGAGACCUCUGUCGUGGAGGGCAUCGACGCCCGGAUCAGACCUUCUGUGACGAUUCCGCGGUAGAGCAUGUAUGUUGGGACCCGAAAGAUGGUGAACUAUGCCUGAAUAGGGUGAAGCCAGAGGAAACUCUGGUGGAGGCUCGUAGCGAUUCUGACGUGCAAAUCGAUCGUCAAAUUUGGGUAUAGGGGCGAAAGACUAAUCG
Molecule: ribosomal RNA, 882 nt
Filed under: Gloeoporellus merulinus
Lineage: Eukaryota; Fungi; Basidiomycota; Agaricomycetes; Polyporales; Incrustoporiaceae
Description: partial large subunit ribosomal RNA
Rfam family: Eukaryotic large subunit ribosomal RNA
Source: RNAcentral